RNAcentral lists this ribosomal RNA (472 nucleotides) under Serratia fonticola. RNAcentral's name for it is "bacterial SSU rRNA". It matches the Rfam family "Bacterial small subunit ribosomal RNA", at positions 20 to 484 of the family's 1533-position model. The record is from RNAcentral. Lineage: Bacteria; Pseudomonadati; Pseudomonadota; Gammaproteobacteria; Enterobacterales; Yersiniaceae.
UGGCUCAGAUUGAACGCUGGCGGCAGGCCUAACACAUGCAAGUCGAGCGGUAGCACAAGGAGCUUGCUCCUGGGUGACGAGCGGCGGACGGGUGAGUAAUGUCUGGGAAACUGCCCGAUGGAGGGGGAUAACUACUGGAAACGGUAGCUAAUACCGCAUAACGUCUUCGGACCAAAGUGGGGGACCUUCGGGCCUCACACCAUCGGAUGUGCCCAGAUGGGAUUAGCUAGUAGGUGAGGUAAUGGCUCACCUAGGCGACGAUCCCUAGCUGGUUUGAGAGGAUGACCAGCCACACUGGAACUGAGACACGGUCCAGACUCCUACGGGAGGCAGCAGUGGGGAAUAUUGCACAAUGGGCGCAAGCCUGAUGCAGCCAUGCCGCGUGUGUGAAGAAGGCCUUCGGGUUGUAAAGCACUUUCAGCGAGGAGGAAGGGUUCGGUGUUAAUAGCACUGUUCANUGACGUACUCGCAG